UAGGGAAUCUUCCGCAAUGGACGCAAGUCUGACGGAGCAACGCCGCGUGAGUGAAGAAGGAUUUCGGUUCGUAAAACUCUGUUGUUAGAGAAGAACAGCGCAUAGAGUAACUGUUAUGCGUGUGACGGUAUCUAACCAGAAAGCCACGGCUAACUACGUGCCAGCAGCCGCUGUAAUACGUAGGUGGCAAGCGUUGUCCGGAUUUAUUGGGCGUAAAGCGAGCGCAGGCGGUCAAUUAAGUCUGAUGUGAAAGCCCCCGGCUCAACCGGGGGGGGUCAUUGGAAACUGGUUGGCUGGAGUGCAGAAGAGGAGGGUGGAAUUCCAUGUGUAGCGGUGAAAUGCGUAGAUAUAUGGAGGAACACCGGUGGCGAAGGCGACUCUCUGGUCUGUAACUGACGCUGAGGUUCGAAAGCGUGGGUAGCAAACAGG
RNAcentral lists this ribosomal RNA (429 nucleotides) under Bacteroidota bacterium. RNAcentral's name for it is "Bacteroidetes bacterium partial 16S ribosomal RNA". It matches the Rfam family "Bacterial small subunit ribosomal RNA", at positions 355 to 776 of the family's 1533-position model. The record is from RNAcentral. Lineage: Bacteria; Pseudomonadati; Bacteroidota.